Long non-coding RNA from Gasterosteus aculeatus aculeatus (three-spined stickleback), 1759 nucleotides. NCBI's taxonomy places the organism in Eukaryota, Metazoa, Chordata, Actinopteri, Perciformes, Gasterosteidae. The record is from Ensembl.
UCUGCCGUCAGAGUGUGCUCGAGGAUUCCUACCUGCCGGCUAGCGGGUCCUCCGAGGCCAUUCUUCCCUGCGGAGUCAACCUGUCCUCGUGCGCCCUUUUUAUAUGUUUAAAUAAAUAUCUUAUUUUUCAAGUCGGAAGAACCUCCCUGUGACUCCUGUGUGCUGCGCUUGGGCCCACGCCCAUCUAACUUACCGUAACAGAUACAUUCUGGUGGAAACUGAAGGCAACUCAAGAUCCCUCUCAUCUGCUCCAUCAAAUGAUGAACCCUGACUCCUGACUCCUCUUGAUCAGCUCCUUCUGCCCCUCCAUGCUCCACUUCUGCAUCCUCAACCUCCUCUGGACGCCAUCGUCUUCCUUACCACUUUGCUCCUGUUCUUUGUUCGUCGCUUGUAGCUGGAAAUCCUCUGCCUCGCUUCUGAUCUGGCUCCCAACAUGUUUCAGUAGUUCUGCUGGUUGUCUGAUGAUUCUCCAGUUACUUUCGUCCUCUUAACUACGGUCAAGACCUUCUUCUGUUUUUGCUUCUUUUUCUUGUUUGUAGCUGUUUUCCACUUCCUCCUUUCCAUCUUAUCUUGUUUUACCUCUUACACUGGCAGAAAGUCACAGGGCAGGAACUGUGCAGUACUCUCAUUCACAAAGAUCACCAUUUCCCUUCUCCGAAGCAUGGAAAUUGUCAGCAAGGGUCAGAGUCUUUUGAAUUGGUCGCAGACAUGUUUUGUGAUUCUUCGACUGACUGCACUUGAACUGCAACUUUGGCUUUAGCUGACUCCAGCCCCCCCGCAACCCUGUAUGAAGGAUAAGCAGCUUUGCAGAUGGAUGGAUGAAUGGAUGGAUGGAUGGAUGCCCCUUGAUGCGGCAAAGUAAUCUGCAUUAAGUCAAGAGGCACUCAGCCUCUUAACUUCCUGGAUUGCUGGAACUGGAUCCUGCAGAACUUGACUAGUUAGCUGGAGCUGUGAAUAUUUUUCCACCAAAUGAACUGCUUUCUGACUGGCUUGUGUUGUCUUUUCUACAUUUAGCUCAUUAGCAGUGUUUCCAGUGUCUUCAGAUAUUUGCUUCACUGUUUCCAACAUUGUCCUGAGAAACUGCGUUGCAAUUUCCUCAUCUUUAUCAUGAUGACAUUAUCCAUAUGUUCGGUCAUUAGUCUGAUUAUCACUUGUCUUGUUAUGACAUUUUCAAUUGAAAUUGUAGUUCCACAACAGACCUCUUUGACCUGAGUCACUAAUAAACACUUUGGUUUUGUUUGAUUGCUGCUAAAUUGUGUAGUUAUUUAAAUAGUAUGUGGCGAUUAGAGUGCAAACUCUCCUUUCCCAUUGUGAAAAUAUUAUUUUUAAAGGACCACCCACCAGAAAAUAUGUAUUGUAGGAACACAAAAAAAUGUUUGUGAACUCUGGAAAUGAUUACAUAUUCUUUAACUGUCUACUAACUUUUAGACUUUACAAUACUCUGGAGUUUUUUUAAAUGUUUGGGUUGCAAACAAGUCUCAAAUUGCAUUGCAAUACACAAAUACGUUAAGGGUUGGAUCUUGAGAUGCCUCAAACUUGCUGUGUGAGCAAUACCGAAGGGAAAUUAUAGAUGGAGCGGGUGAUUCUCCAAUAUUUUAAAGAAAUUCUGCUAUUUACACUCCCUCCACUCAGACUCCCUGUUUUAUUGGCCUCCAAUUCGCUAAUAUACCUGACAAAUAUUUUUCUAUCCUCACAGACCAGACGAACAACUGACUAACAUCAGGAAAAACAUCACGUUUUGUACUUGUUAGAUAUAGUA